Long non-coding RNA from Symsagittifera roscoffensis, 854 nucleotides. RefSeq lists it as uncharacterized. The record is from RefSeq and is a predicted model, not a curated record. The transcript is spliced from 3 exons. NCBI's taxonomy places the organism in Eukaryota, Metazoa, Xenacoelomorpha, Acoela, Convolutidae.
GGGCUAAUUCUCCAUUUUAAGGAAACUGGUCAGAGUUAAUUCCUUCAGAUUGCUUCGUUUUUACUCUCAUAUCUUCCUACUUCAGUCCACGGGUGGUCAGAAUCAGUAAUCUAUCUGCAAACGAUCAGUUGAUUCAGGUUGAGAAACAUUCACACAUUUAUCCGGAAAUUAUACUGAGGGUGUUUUCAAUUUAAAGGCGCACUGCAAAAACGGACGGAUUACGGCUUUAAUUUAUUGCUGAAUUAACCUGUCAAACUGCGUUAUUUUGAGCCAAUCGAAAUCAAUUUCCCUCUCUGAUAAUCAAUUUUUCCUCACCAUUGGCUGCUUGAAGAUAUUUUUCUUAUUUUACCAAAAAAUAACAUUUCAAUUCAAAGAAAAAAUACAACUUCUGACCAUAGUGAAAUCAAAUCAAUUUUGCUAAGACUUCGUCUAUUAACAUCUCUAAAAUGCCUCCUAAAUUUGUAAGUGUUUUCUGCUUGCUUCUGUUUAUCAGUUCGAUGGCGAGAAGUGAACCUGUUUACUACUACCAACUGUCACCAUACGAAGGACAUUACACGAGACAAUCAUUGGAAGGCUUGUCGCCAGAGAUGUCGCCGGACACUAGCUCCACAAUGAGGAAGAGGUUCUAUUGGGGCUUCCCAGACAUUCGGAGAAAGUUCAAAGUUCAGAUCAACAGUCCAUUCUUGAGUUCCUGGACCACACAGUAAUCGGCCGCAGAGGCAUCAGAACCGAUGGACUAAUAAGUCGAACCAAUCAUUAACAAAACGACUUUCGGACGUCCCGCUUGAAAUUGCGGAAAGUUUUGCUGCUAAAUUUUAAUAAUUAAAUCAAGGAAUUUAAUCGUUUAUUCUGCG